Oryza sativa Japonica Group (Japanese rice) is the source of this 204-nucleotide microRNA precursor. It matches the Rfam family "MIR812 microRNA precursor family". NCBI's taxonomy places the organism in Eukaryota, Viridiplantae, Streptophyta, Magnoliopsida, Poales, Poaceae. The record is from Rfam.
AAAAAAAGACACCCUGGUUUCCGUGUCCAACGUUUGACCGUCCGUCUUAUUUGAAAAAAUUAUGAAAAAAUUAAAAAGAUAAGUCACGCAUAAAGUAUUAAUCAUGUUUUAUCAUCUAACAACAAUGAAAAUACUAAUUAUAAAAAAAUUUCAUAUAAGACGGACAGUCAAACGUUGGCACGGGAGCCCACGGUUUGCCUUUUU